Molecule: transfer-messenger RNA, 352 nt
Filed under: Oligoflexales
Lineage: Bacteria; Pseudomonadati; Bdellovibrionota; Oligoflexia
Also listed under: 1 other name
Description: CAIYRB01 sp016874735 Standard tmRNA
Rfam family: transfer-messenger RNA
About the family: Bacterial tmRNA, also known as 10Sa RNA or SsrA, is named for its dual tRNA and mRNA-like properties. Its role is to liberate the mRNA from a stalled ribosome. To accomplish this part of the tmRNA is used as a reading frame that ends in a translation stop signal.
Source: RNAcentral
GGGGGCGUACCGGUUUCGACGGGUAUGGCUGAUGAGUUAGAGAGCAUGCCGGGGGUGGUUACGUGACCCCGUCAAAACGCGUAACAACGCUUAGUCGGCAACGAUUACGCACUCGCAGCUUAAUUAAGCUGCCGUCGAAGCAGAGGGUGUCGGUCCCGCUGCGGAGGCGCAAUAAAUCCGACUUGGUGUCAGGGUCUUACGUCUGGAGACCACGGCAUGACGACAAUCAGGCUGCGACAUAGCAAGCCUGUCUGUUGGCUCGCUGCGUAAGAGGACAAUCGACAGACUAAGCAUGUAGCCGCUCUUUCCGUCUCGUAUUCGGACGCGGGUUCGACUCCCGCCGCCUCCACCA